This 345-nucleotide ribosomal RNA is filed under the name uncultured bacterium. RNAcentral describes it as "bacterial SSU rRNA". It matches the Rfam family "Bacterial small subunit ribosomal RNA", at positions 8 to 334 of the family's 1533-position model. The record is from RNAcentral.
AGAGUUUGAUUAUGGCUCAGGAUGAACGCUGGCGGCGUGCUUAACACAUGCAAGUCGAACGGAGAGCGUAUGACAGAGGAUUCGUCCAAUGGAUUACGUUUCUUAGUGGCGGACGGGUGAGUAACGCGUGAGGAACCUGCCUUGGAGUGGGGAAUAACAGUUGGAAACAGCUGCUAAUACCGCAUAAUGCAGUUGAGUCGCAUGACUCUGACUGCCAAAGAUUUAUCGCUCUGAGAUGGCCUCGCGUCUGAUUAGCUGGUUGGCGGGGUAACGGCCCACCAAGGCGACGAUCAGUAGCCGGACUGAGAGGUUGGCCGGCCACAUUGGGACUGAGACACGGCCCAG